GCACUGCUGAGGAGUCCCAUACCAUAGGACGAAACGGCCGUCCAGUGC
Molecule: non-coding RNA, 48 nt
Organism: Schistosoma margrebowiei
Lineage: Eukaryota; Metazoa; Platyhelminthes; Trematoda; Strigeidida; Schistosomatidae
Source: Rfam